GGGCCCGCACAAGCGGUGGAGUAUGUGGUUUAAUUCGAUGCAACGCGAAGAACCUUACCAGGGUUUGACAUCCUGCGAAUCUCUUGGAAACAGGAGAGUGCCUUCGGGAACACAGUAACAGGUGCUGCAUGGCUGUCGUCAGCUCGUGUCGUGAGAUGUUGGGUUAAGUCCCGCAACGAGCGCAACCCUCGUUCUUAGUUGCUACCAUUUAGUUGGGCACUCUAAGAAGACUGCCGGUGACAAACCGGAGGAAGGUGGGGAUGACGUCAAGUCAUCAUGCCCCUUACAUCCUGGGCUACACACGUACUACAAUGCUACGGACAAAGGGCAGCAAACUCGCGAGAGCUAGCAAAUCCCAUAAACCGUGGCUCAGUUCAGAUCGUAGGCUGCAACUCGCCUACGUGAAGGAGGAAUCGCUAGUAAUCG
This 426-nucleotide ribosomal RNA is filed under the name uncultured bacterium. RNAcentral's name for it is "bacterial SSU rRNA". It matches the Rfam family "Bacterial small subunit ribosomal RNA", at positions 917 to 1344 of the family's 1533-position model. The record is from RNAcentral.